RNAcentral lists this ribosomal RNA (2902 nucleotides) under Escherichia coli 3006. RNAcentral describes it as "bacterial LSU rRNA". It matches the Rfam family "Bacterial large subunit ribosomal RNA". Lineage: Bacteria; Pseudomonadati; Pseudomonadota; Gammaproteobacteria; Enterobacterales; Enterobacteriaceae. The record is from RNAcentral.
UUAAGCGACUAAGCGUACACGGUGGAUGCCCUGGCAGUCAGAGGCGAUGAAGGACGUGCUAAUCUGCGAUAAGCGUCGGUAAGGUGAUAUGAACCGUUAUAACCGGCGAUUUCCGAAUGGGGAAACCCAGUGUGUUUCGACACACUAUCAUUAACUGAAUCCAUAGGUUAAUGAGGCGAACCGGGGGAACUGAAACAUCUAAGUACCCCGAGGAAAAGAAAUCAACCGAGAUUCCCCCAGUAGCGGCGAGCGAACGGGGAGGAGCCCAGAGUCUGAAUCAGUGUGUGUGUUAGUGGAAGCGUCUGGAAAGGCGCGCGAUACAGGGUGACAGCCCCGUACACAAAAAUGCACAUACUGUGAGCUCGAUGAGUAGGGCGGGACACGUGGUAUCCUGUCUGAAUAUGGGGGGACCAUCCUCCAAGGCUAAAUACUCCUGACUGACCGAUAGUGAACCAGUACCGUGAGGGAAAGGCGAAAAGAACCCCGGCGAGGGGAGUGAAAAAGAACCUGAAACCGUGUACGUACAAGCAGUGGGAGCCUCUUUUAUGGGGUGACUGCGUACCUUUUGUAUAAUGGGUCAGCGACUUAUAUUCUGUAGCAAGGUUAACCGAAUAGGGGAGCCGAAGGGAAACCGAGUCUUAACUGGGCGUUAAGUUGCAGGGUAUAGACCCGAAACCCGGUGAUCUAGCCAUGGGCAGGUUGAAGGUUGGGUAACACUAACUGGAGGACCGAACCGACUAAUGUUGAAAAAUUAGCGGAUGACUUGUGGCUGGGGGUGAAAGGCCAAUCAAACCGGGAGAUAGCUGGUUCUCCCCGAAAGCUAUUUAGGUAGCGCCUCGUGAAUUCAUCUCCGGGGGUAGAGCACUGUUUCGGCAAGGGGGUCAUCCCGACUUACCAACCCGAUGCAAACUGCGAAUACCGGAGAAUGUUAUCACGGGAGACACACGGCGGGUGCUAACGUCCGUCGUGAAGAGGGAAACAACCCAGACCGCCAGCUAAGGUCCCAAAGUCAUGGUUAAGUGGGAAACGAUGUGGGAAGGCCCAGACAGCCAGGAUGUUGGCUUAGAAGCAGCCAUCAUUUAAAGAAAGCGUAAUAGCUCACUGGUCGAGUCGGCCUGCGCGGAAGAUGUAACGGGGCUAAACCAUGCACCGAAGCUGCGGCAGCGACGCUUAUGCGUUGUUGGGUAGGGGAGCGUUCUGUAAGCCUGCGAAGGUGUGCUGUGAGGCAUGCUGGAGGUAUCAGAAGUGCGAAUGCUGACAUAAGUAACGAUAAAGCGGGUGAAAAGCCCGCUCGCCGGAAGACCAAGGGUUCCUGUCCAACGUUAAUCGGGGCAGGGUGAGUCGACCCCUAAGGCGAGGCCGAAAGGCGUAGUCGAUGGGAAACAGGUUAAUAUUCCUGUACUUGGUGUUACUGCGAAGGGGGGACGGAGAAGGCUAUGUUGGCCGGGCGACGGUUGUCCCGGUUUAAGCGUGUAGGCUGGUUUUCCAGGCAAAUCCGGAAAAUCAAGGCUGAGGCGUGAUGACGAGGCACUACGGUGCUGAAGCAACAAAUGCCAUGCUUCCAGGAAAAGCCUCUAAGCAUCAGGUAACAUCAAAUCGUACCCCAAACCGACACAGGUGGUCAGGUAGAGAAUACCAAGGCGCUUGAGAGAACUCGGGUGAAGGAACUAGGCAAAAUGGUGCCGUAACUUCGGGAGAAGGCACGCUGAUAUGUAGGUGAAGCGACUUGCUCGUGGAGCUGAAAUCAGUCGAAGAUACCAGCUGGCUGCAACUGUUUAUUAAAAACACAGCACUGUGCAAACACGAAAGUGGACGUAUACGGUGUGACGCCUGCCCGGUGCCGGAAGGUUAAUUGAUGGGGUCAGCGCAAGCGAAGCUCUUGAUCGAAGCCCCGGUAAACGGCGGCCGUAACUAUAACGGUCCUAAGGUAGCGAAAUUCCUUGUCGGGUAAGUUCCGACCUGCACGAAUGGCGUAAUGAUGGCCAGGCUGUCUCCACCCGAGACUCAGUGAAAUUGAACUCGCUGUGAAGAUGCAGUGUACCCGCGGCAAGACGGAAAGACCCCGUGAACCUUUACUAUAGCUUGACACUGAACAUUGAGCCUUGAUGUGUAGGAUAGGUGGGAGGCUUAGAAGUGUGGACGCCAGUCUGCAUGGAGCCGACCUUGAAAUACCACCCUUUAAUGUUUGAUGUUCUAACGUUGACCCGUAAUCCGGGUUGCGGACAGUGUCUGGUGGGUAGUUUGACUGGGGCGGUCUCCUCCUAAAGAGUAACGGAGGAGCACGAAGGUUGGCUAAUCCUGGUCGGACAUCAGGAGGUUAGUGCAAUGGCAUAAGCCAGCUUGACUGCGAGCGUGACGGCGCGAGCAGGUGCGAAAGCAGGUCAUAGUGAUCCGGUGGUUCUGAAUGGAAGGGCCAUCGCUCAACGGAUAAAAGGUACUCCGGGGAUAACAGGCUGAUACCGCCCAAGAGUUCAUAUCGACGGCGGUGUUUGGCACCUCGAUGUCGGCUCAUCACAUCCUGGGGCUGAAGUAGGUCCCAAGGGUAUGGCUGUUCGCCAUUUAAAGUGGUACGCGAGCUGGGUUUAGAACGUCGUGAGACAGUUCGGUCCCUAUCUGCCGUGGGCGCUGGAGAACUGAGGGGGGCUGCUCCUAGUACGAGAGGACCGGAGUGGACGCAUCACUGGUGUUCGGGUUGUCAUGCCAAUGGCACUGCCCGGUAGCUAAAUGCGGAAGAGAUAAGUGCUGAAAGCAUCUAAGCACGAAACUUGCCCCGAGAUGAGUUCUCCCUGACCCUUUAAGGGUCCUGAAGGAACGUUGAAGACGACGACGUUGAUAGGCCGGGUGUGUAAGCGCAGCGAUGCGUUGAGCUAACCGGUACUAAUGAACCGUGAGGCUUAACCUU